RNAcentral lists this ribosomal RNA (575 nucleotides) under fungal sp. JB4-1. Its description in RNAcentral is "eukaryotic LSU rRNA". It matches the Rfam family "Eukaryotic large subunit ribosomal RNA", at positions 78 to 668 of the family's 3401-position model. The record is from RNAcentral. Lineage: Eukaryota; Fungi.
CCUUAGUAACGGCGAGUGAAGCGGCAAAAGCUCAAAUUUGAAAUCUAGCACUUUCAGUGUUCGAGUUGUAAUUUGAAGAAGGUAACUUUGGAGUUGGCUCUUGUCUAUGUUCCUUGGAACAGGACGUCACAGAGGGUGAGAAUCCCGUGCGAUGAGAUGUCCAACUCUAUGUAAAGUGCUUUCGAAGAGUCGAGUUGUUUGGGAAUGCAGCUCUAAGUGGGUGGUAAAUUCCAUCUAAAGCUAAAUAUUGGCGAGAGACCGAUAGCGAACAAGUACAGUGAUGGAAAGAUGAAAAGAACUUUGAAAAGAGAGUGAAAAAGUACGUGAAAUUGUUGAAAGGGAAGGGCUUGAGAUCAGACUUGGUAUUUUGCGUUCCCUUCCUUUUUGGUUGGGUUCCUCGCAGUUUACUGGGCCAGCAUCGGUUUGGAUGGUAGGAUAAUGACAUUGGAAUGUAGCUUUACUUCGGUGAAGUGUUAUAGACUUUGUUGAUACUACCUAUCUAGACCGAGGACUGCGUCUUUGACUAGGAUGCUGGCGUAAUGAUCUUAAGCCGCCCGUCUUGAAACAACGGACCA